This 278-nucleotide long non-coding RNA is filed under the name Prunus persica (peach). RNAcentral describes it as "long non-coding RNA (PPER_LNC003692)". The record is from RNAcentral. Lineage: Eukaryota; Viridiplantae; Streptophyta; Magnoliopsida; Rosales; Rosaceae.
UAGCUAGGAGUCCGGCUGGUGGCACGGUGGUUCCAGUCACACGGGGCGGCUGCUGUGGUGCGAUGGUCCUAGCUGGGAGUCUGGCUGGUGGCACGGUGGUUCCAGUCACACGGGGCGGCUGCUGUGGUGCGAUAACAAGGGUUUGUUGUGGGUUCGUGGCGGCGAGAGAUGGUUGAGCCACCAUGUCGAUCGCUGGAUCGUGGGAGGAGUAGCUUUGGGCCGUCACGGAUUGAGUCAUUGCGUCGGUUUUGCUCCUUGUGCGCUUGCUUCUAACCAUG